Molecule: small RNA, 173 nt
Filed under: Arabidopsis thaliana (thale cress)
Lineage: Eukaryota; Viridiplantae; Streptophyta; Magnoliopsida; Brassicales; Brassicaceae
Description: ATSL164860
Source: RNAcentral
AUGGUAAAUGCUAUGAAAGAUGGAUGAAACUAGACUCAAAAUCAUAUAUAUGAAAGUUGGCCAACUCUCUCCAUAUGAUUGACACAUCAUCACUUUAACAUUUGCCAUGUGUCCACUGAAUAAUUAAUGUAAGCUCUUCAACUUUUAAUUUAUAGAUUAAUGAUGUAUUUAUU